AACCCACCUAAGGUCACAAAGACUGAUUAGACAAAGCAGUGGUUAAACAGAAGUGGAGACAGCAAGUGAAUCAAGAUACCUUUAGGCGUUAGGGCCAUGGCCCUCAAAGUGAACUUACAGCUUCUACACCA
Small nucleolar RNA from Perognathus longimembris pacificus (Pacific pocket mouse), 131 nucleotides. RefSeq annotates it as small nucleolar RNA SNORA68. The record is from RefSeq and is a predicted model, not a curated record. NCBI's taxonomy places the organism in Eukaryota, Metazoa, Chordata, Mammalia, Rodentia, Heteromyidae. The transcript has a single exon.